GGAUGUGAGGGCGGUCUGUCACCCCACUGAUCUGCAGGGUUGAUUAGGUUGAUCUGGCUGACUAGGCAGGUGUCCCCUUUCUCGCUCACCUAUCCAUGCGCAUCCCUCCCAGAGCUGCAAGCUGUGUGCUCUGUCAAAGAGGAUGGCCUUCCCCCUGGAGGAGAGGACCGGUCUUCAAUCAAGGGUAUACAAGUAGCUGUGCUGCCCUGCUAGACCCUCCAAACAACCUAUCAAGGUUCAUUUGUAGAAGAACUCCGGGUUGGUAGAAUUUAGGAGAUAGAUAGAUAGAUAGAUAGAU
Myotis lucifugus (little brown bat) is the source of this 298-nucleotide unclassified non-coding RNA. Its record names the gene 7SK. It matches the Rfam family "7SK RNA". Rfam says of the family: 7SK was discovered as an abundant small nuclear RNA in the mid-70s but a possible function has only recently been suggested. Two independent studies have found that 7SK RNA binds the CDK9/cyclin T complex (known as elongation factor P-TEFb). P-TEFb activates transcription by phosphorylating the C-terminal domain of RNA polymerase II. The record is from Ensembl. NCBI's taxonomy places the organism in Eukaryota, Metazoa, Chordata, Mammalia, Chiroptera, Vespertilionidae.